This 65-nucleotide transfer RNA is filed under the name Heptagenia sulphurea. Its description in RNAcentral is "tRNA-Asn". The record is from RNAcentral. Lineage: Eukaryota; Metazoa; Arthropoda; Insecta; Ephemeroptera; Heptageniidae.
UUAAGUGAAGCCAAAAAGAGGCUUAUCCCUGUUAAUGAUAAAAUUGGGUUUAUUCCCCACUUAGA